RNAcentral lists this unclassified non-coding RNA (311 nucleotides) under Hevea brasiliensis (rubber tree). Lineage: Eukaryota; Viridiplantae; Streptophyta; Magnoliopsida; Malpighiales; Euphorbiaceae. The record is from RNAcentral.
GUAGUUUAUCUGCUCUUGUUUACAAUCGCAGACUCUUGAUAAGUAUCUGAUUGAUUAAUAUUAUAGUUUCAUUUCAGUUCUAGCAUGCAAAUUUUGAGUUUUUUGCUCUUGUAAUUCUUGUCUCUCCAAUUUUGAGUUUUCUGGGUAGAUUGUAACUAUUGCAUUUGUUUAAAGGUUGAUCUUAAUUCCAAGGCUCUGUUAUUUGCCAUAGAACUUGUAUUUGUUCUGUUGCAGUAAUUGAAUUCUUGAUUAUGGUCUUAUUAGCUUCUACUUAUUUACUUCUUGCAGGGGGAGCCAAAGUUGUGAACUUG